RNAcentral lists this transfer RNA (66 nucleotides) under Fasciola jacksoni. Its description in RNAcentral is "tRNA-Met". Lineage: Eukaryota; Metazoa; Platyhelminthes; Trematoda; Plagiorchiida; Fasciolidae. The record is from RNAcentral.
AGAGAGGUAAGUUAAGGUGUUAAACUAUGUGGUUCAUGUUCAUAAAAUACAUUCUUGUCUUCUCUU